Molecule: ribosomal RNA, 253 nt
Filed under: uncultured bacterium
Lineage: Bacteria
Description: partial 16S ribosomal RNA
Rfam family: Bacterial small subunit ribosomal RNA
Source: RNAcentral
UACGUAGGGUCCAAGCGUUAUCCGGAAUUACUGGGUAUAAAGGGUGCGUAGGCGGCCUUGUGCGUCGAAGGUUAAAGGCCAUGGCUCAACCAUGGAAAUGCCCUCGAUACGGCAAGGCUUGAGUAUGAGAGAGGAAGAUGGAAUUCCUGGUGUAGCAGUGAAAUGCGUAGAUAUCAGGAGGAACACCGGUGGCGAAGGCGGUCUUCUGGCUCAUUACUGACGCUGAGGCACGAAAGUGUGGGGAGCAAACAGG